CCAAUAGCGUAUAUUAAAGUUGUUGCAGUUAAAAAGCUCGUAGUUGAAUUUCGGGAUCAAUAUGUCGGUCGUGCUUCGGUACGUACUUGCAUUAUUGGUUUCUCCCUUCUGAAGAACCAUGAUGUCAUUAAUUUGGUGUCUUGGGGAAUCAGGACUGUUACUUUGAAAAAAUUAGAGUGUUUAAAGCAGGCUCACGCUUGAAUACAUUAGCAUGGAAUAAUGAAAUAGGACGUUUGAUUCUAUUUUGUUGGUUUCUAGGAUCGACGUAAUGAUUAAUAGGGAUAGUUGGGGGCAUUAGUAUUCAAUUGUCAGAGGUGAAAUUCUUGGAUUUAUUGAAGACUAACUACUGCGAAAGCAUUUGCCAAGGAUGUUUUCAUUAAUCAAGAACGAAAGUUAGGGGAUCGAAGACGAUCAGAUACCGUCGUAGUCUUAACCAUAAACUAUGCCGACUAGGGAUCGGAUGAUGUUAAUUUUUUAAUGACUCAUUCGGCGCCCUACG
This 499-nucleotide ribosomal RNA is filed under the name uncultured Glomeromycotina. RNAcentral's name for it is "partial small subunit ribosomal RNA". It matches the Rfam family "Eukaryotic small subunit ribosomal RNA", at positions 591 to 1092 of the family's 1831-position model. The record is from RNAcentral. Lineage: Eukaryota; Fungi; Glomeromycota.